AUCGACUGCGCCAGCUCAGAUUAUCCUACAGGCAGGAAACUAGUCUGCAGUUGACGAUGGGCCGUUCAGACUUUUCAUUCUGGAAAAUGAUGAACGCGGGCUACAGGUUUAACACAUGCAAGUCGAGGGGCAGCAUGGUCUUAGCUUGCUAAGACUGAUGGCGACCGGCGCACGGGUGGAGUAACACGUAUCCAACCUGCCGUCUACUCUUGGACAGCCUUCUGAAAGGAAGAUUAAUACAAGAUGGCAUCAUGAGUCCGCAUGUUCACAUGAUUAAAGGUAUUCCGGUAGACGAUGGGGAUGCGUUCCAUUAGAUAGUAGGCGGGGUAACGGCCCACCUAGUCUUCGAUGGAUAGGGGUUCUGAGAGGAAGGUCCCCCACAUUGGAACUGAGACACGGUCCAAACUCCUACGGGAGGCAGCAGUGAGGAAUAUUGGUCAAUGGGCGAGAGCCUGAACCAGCCAAGUAGCGUGAAGGAUGACUGCCCUAUGGGUUGUAAACUUCUUUUAUAAAGGAAUAAAGUCGGGUAUGGAUACCCGUUUGCAUGUACUUUAUGAAUAAGGAUCGGCUAACUCCGUGCCAGCAGCCGCGGUAAUACGGAGGAUCCGAGCGUUAUCCGGAUUUAUUGGGUUUAAAGGGAGCGUAGAUGGAUGUUUAAGUCAGUUGUGAAAGUUUGCGGCUCAACCGUAAAAUUGCAGUUGAUACUGGAUAUCUUGAGUGCAGUUGAGGCAGGCGGAAUUCGUGGUGUAGCGGUGAAAUGCUUAGAUAUCACGAAGAACUCCGAUUGCGAAGGCAGCCUGCUAAGCUGCAACUGACAUUGAGGCUCGAAAGAGUGGGUAUCAAACAGGAUUAGAUACCCUGGUAGUCCACACGGUAAACGAUGAAUACUCGCUGUUUGC
This 899-nucleotide ribosomal RNA is filed under the name uncultured bacterium. RNAcentral describes it as "bacterial SSU rRNA". It matches the Rfam family "Bacterial small subunit ribosomal RNA", at positions 1 to 827 of the family's 1533-position model. The record is from RNAcentral.